UACGUAGGGUGCGAGCGUUGUCCGGAAUUAUUGGGCGUAAAGAGCUCGUAGGCGGCUUGUCGCGUCGGAUGUGAAAGCCCGGGGCUUAACUCCGGGUCUGCAUUCGAUACGGGCAGGCUAGAGUUCGGUAGGGGAGACUGGAAUUCCUGGUGUAGCGGUGAAAUGCGCAGAUAUCAGGAGGAACACCGGUGGCGAAGGCGGGUCUCUGGGCCGAUAUUGACGCUGAGGAGCGAAAGCGUGGGGAGCAAACAGG
This 253-nucleotide ribosomal RNA is filed under the name uncultured bacterium. RNAcentral describes it as "partial 16S ribosomal RNA". It matches the Rfam family "Bacterial small subunit ribosomal RNA", at positions 524 to 776 of the family's 1533-position model. The record is from RNAcentral.